Molecule: ribosomal RNA, 221 nt
Filed under: Shigella flexneri
Lineage: Bacteria; Pseudomonadati; Pseudomonadota; Gammaproteobacteria; Enterobacterales; Enterobacteriaceae
Description: partial 23S ribosomal RNA
Rfam family: Bacterial large subunit ribosomal RNA
Source: RNAcentral
AGCUGGGUUUAGAACGUCGUGAGACAGUUCGGUCCCUAUCUGCCGUGGGCGCUGGAGAACUGAGGGGGGCUGCUCCUAGUACGAGAGGACCGGAGUGGACGCAUCACUGGUGUUCGGGUUGUCAUGCCAAUGGCACUGCCCGGUAGCUAAAUGCGGAAGAGAUAAGUGCUGAAAGCAUCUAAGCACGAAACUUGCCCCGAGAUGAGUUCUCCCUGACCCUU